GAUCCUGGCUCAGGAUGAACGCUAGCUACAGGCUUAACACAUGCAAGUCGCGGGGUAACAUUUGACAGAGCUUGCUCAGUCAAGAUGACGACCGGCGCACGGGUGAGUAACGCGUAUCCAACCUGGCCCAUACCACGGGACAGCCCGUCGAAGGCGGAUUAAUACCGUAUGCAGUCAUAGACAAGCAUUUGAAUAUGACGAAAGGCUUAGACGGUAUGGGAUGGGGAUGGCG
RNAcentral lists this ribosomal RNA (232 nucleotides) under uncultured bacterium. Its description in RNAcentral is "partial 16S ribosomal RNA". It matches the Rfam family "Bacterial small subunit ribosomal RNA", at positions 15 to 235 of the family's 1533-position model. The record is from RNAcentral.